This 1834-nucleotide ribosomal RNA is filed under the name Rotylenchulus reniformis. Its description in RNAcentral is "bacterial SSU rRNA". The stretch from base 2 to 963 matches the Rfam family "Eukaryotic small subunit ribosomal RNA". The record is from RNAcentral. Lineage: Eukaryota; Metazoa; Nematoda; Chromadorea; Rhabditida; Hoplolaimidae.
UCUGGUUGAUCCUGCCUGAACUGAUGUGUUCAUUUCAAAGAUUAAGCCAUGCAUGUAUAAGUAUAAUCUGCCAGUCAGAGAAACUGCGUACGGCUCAUUACACCAGCCUUAAUUUACUUGACCUUGACACCCUACUUGGAUAACUGUGGUAAUUCUAGAGCUAAUACAUGCACCAAAGCUCCAAUCUCCCCAGAGCGGAGCGCAUUUGUUCGCCACAAAACCAAGCGCCUCAGGGCGUUCAGUGUUGACUCAGAACAACUAAGCUGAUCGCACGGUCUUGCACCGGCGACGUGUCUUUCAAGUGUCUGCCUUAUCAACUUUCGAUGGUAGUGUAUCUGACUACCAUGGUGAUGACGGGUAACGGAGGAUAAGGGUUCGACUCCGGAGAAGGGGCCUGAGAAAUGGCCACUACGUCUAAGGAUGGCAGCAGGCGCGCAAAUUACCCACUCUCGACGCGAGGAGGUAGUGACGAGAAAUAACGAGACCGUUCUCAUCUGAGGCCGGUCAUCGGAAUGGGUACAAUUUAAACCCUUUAACGAGUAUCUAUGAGAGGGCAAGUCUGGUGCCAGCAGCCGCGGUAAUUCCAGCUCUCAAAAUGCAUAGAAUUAUUGCUGCGGUUAAAAAGCUCGUAGUUGGAUCUGUGCUGAGCGACCGGUCUGCCCACUGGGCACGCACUGGCUCGCCCGGCUUUCCCUGCCGGUCUCUCUCUGACGUUGGUUUUAACCGGCUGGCGUCAGUGGGCUGGCGAGUUUACUUUGAACAAAUCAGAGUGCUUCAAACAGGCGUCUCGCCUGAAUGUUCGUGCAUGGAAUAAUAGAAGAGGAUCACGGUCCGAUUUUAUUGGUUUUGCUGACCGAGAUAAUGGUUAACAGAGACAAACGGGGCCAUUCGUAUUGCNAUGUAGUUCAUAAGUUAAGAUGAACAAACGCUUUGUGAAGAAAGCCUUCGAGCCCAGCAUCACUGUGCCGCCCCUCUCCUUCACCUUUGACCAGUUCUUCAAGGGUGUGACCAUCGAGGAGGGCCGCGUGAUGGUGGACGUGGACGCGCAUGUCCAGAAGCUCGUUCGUGUAAAGAACGCCUGGCUCCAUUCAUCGAGGAAGCGCCAGGUGAGGCGUACUCGUUGCCUUCUUUACUCCGUUGUGUAAGGGCGAGACGGGGAGCAGUGGCACCUCAUCGAGCCUGAGCGCAGGGGAUGUCGAGAAGAUCGUCAACGAGAAGCUGGAGGCCGAGCGAGCGGAAGCCAAGCAGCGUGAGGACGAGCUCGUCCGCAAGCUGGAGAAGACGCAACGCAAGCUCGCGCGUGCGAAGCGCACCUCGGACGGUGGGAGUGCGAAGAAAAAGAAGGUGGAUGAGGACGAAGGCGAUGAGCAAGAAGACAUUGUGGAUGUCUGACCUGUUGACAUUAUGGACCUGUAAUGUUAAUCGUAUCGUUCUCAGUAAAGUUAAUCUCUAGUUCUUCUCAUAAGCAUUUUAGGUAGGAAGCCCGCAGAUGAGGGCAACCCCGGUCCCACAGAGUUGCUUCGGCAACGGGAUCGGGGUCUAUUUUUUAAUAUGUUUGCGAAAUGCUAGUAUUUCGAUGUGAAAUCGUCGGCAUGUUUUAUUCAACGACAUAUUAAUAUUAAAAAUGCAUUGGGAGAAUAAAGAGAAUGAGGUAAACCUGGUGCCAGCAGCCGCGGUAAUUCACUCUGUGAUGAGUAUUGAGUGUACUGCCGACUAGCUGGUGCCUGGUGUGGCUUCCCGAAAGGAUGGGUAGGGAGUCAUGGAUUGCUUGGAAGUGUUGCCCAUCGUGUAUGCAGAGUCAUAACCAAUCAACCCAAAGAUGGUAGUGCCGGCG